Molecule: ribosomal RNA, 460 nt
Filed under: uncultured bacterium
Lineage: Bacteria
Description: partial 16S ribosomal RNA
Rfam family: Bacterial small subunit ribosomal RNA
Source: RNAcentral
CCUACGGGUGGCAGCAGUGAGGAAUAUUGGUCAAUGGGCGGGAGCCUGAACCAGCCAAGUCGCGUGAGGGAAGACGGUCCUACGGAUUGUACACCUCUUUUGCCGGGGAGCAACGGGGUCCUUGCGAGGGCCCAAUGAGAGUACCCGGAGAAAAAGCAUCGGCUAACUCCGUGCCAGCAGCCGCGGUAAUACGGAGGAUGCGAGCGGUAUCCGGAUUUAUUGGGUUUAGAGGGUGCGUAGGCGGGCUGUUCAGUCAGCGGUCAAAGGUCGGGGCUCAACCCCGGCCUGCCGUUGAAAAUGGCGGCCUCGAGUGGGCGAGAAGUAUGCGGAAGGCGGGGGGUAGCGGUGAAAUGCAUAGAUAUCACGCAGAACUCCGAUUGCGAAGGCAGCAGACCGGCGCCCUACUGACGCUGAGGCACGAAAGCGUGGGUAUCGAACAGGAUUAGAUACCCCUGUAGUC